This is a long non-coding RNA of Gadus macrocephalus (Pacific cod), 1016 nucleotides long. RefSeq lists it as uncharacterized. NCBI's taxonomy places the organism in Eukaryota, Metazoa, Chordata, Actinopteri, Gadiformes, Gadidae. The transcript is spliced from 4 exons. The record is from RefSeq and is a predicted model, not a curated record.
UUAAGAUGUAAAGUCCAUGUUACAGUAAUUAUGAACAUGGUAAUAGUAAUUUCACCUUUUAACAGCCAUUCCAUAAAGACACUUUAAAUAAAAAACGGACUCUUUUGUACUAUUUUAACGGAUGGAUUUCUACGAGAUCUCCAGCAAUCACUGAGCGAUGCAACAGGAGAUGGGGUGGAAUCACCAACCCCACAAGCCUCUCUUUCUGCUUCAUUAAACUGGAGCACAAGAAAGAGCAAUUCUUCAGAGAGCUGGAAGGCAGCGAGACCUCGUCUGGUUAACCCCGCACUGGCACAAGAAAAUGUGGGAACCCGAAAGUGCCAACAGUGUUGGCGCAAUAUAGCUGUUCGUUGUCGUGAUUGUCUACCACGGCCCUUAUUCUGUGCGGAGUGCGACGUCGUCAUGCACACCAGACACCCCCUUCACAACCGAGACGCCAGUACUUUAGGAUUUUUCCAGCCAUUGCCCCCAACAACUACUGUACAGAAUAUGGACCUUUGCCAGUGUGUGCGGUAUGUACCUGUGGUCUGUGGAGAUCCCUCACCAAAUCUGUGGUUGUCCAACAGAGGCACUGAGGCUCAAACCAGGAAAAGCUGUGGCUGUGAUCACAAUGAAUGGGAGACAUGGGCUCAGCAUGCCUGAGUUGGCAUGUGAAGUGUGCAAAGCCACAUGGACUGCUGGUGUUGACGACAUUCUUCACAGCGACUACUGGCCAGCUACCCUGAACUUUGCCACCAUUUAUGAAACUGAUGUUUUUGCUUCAUUUGAAGAAAUGAAAAUGGCAGCACCUGGAUUGUCCUGUCAGGCAUUUUUAAAAAUGUUGGAUCAGAGAACUGUCCGCUUUGGCCGUACUGGGAAGAUCUCAGCUGACACCUUCACCAAAAGCUUUUUUGAGUGGGAGGCUGUACAAUAUGAGAUGGACAACAUAUGUAAGGAGGAUCCAUUCACCUGUCCUGCCUGCAGCCCGGAUAUGCUUGCGGUUUCCGUGGAUGGUAACCGCAAGCAUUACCACUUCA